GUGGGGUUGUAGCUCAGUGGUAGAGCACUUGCCUCACACAUGUGAGGCACUGGGUUUGAUCCUCAGCACCACA
This 73-nucleotide transfer RNA is filed under the name Marmota monax (woodchuck). RNAcentral describes it as "tRNA.Val". The record is from RNAcentral. Lineage: Eukaryota; Metazoa; Chordata; Mammalia; Rodentia; Sciuridae.